This 86-nucleotide transfer RNA is filed under the name bacterium. Its description in RNAcentral is "tRNA-Leu". It matches the Rfam family "tRNA". Rfam says of the family: Transfer RNA (tRNA) molecules are approximately 80 nucleotides in length. RNAcentral also lists the same sequence under 2 other names. The record is from RNAcentral.
GCGAACGUGGCGGAAUUGGUAUACGCGCUAGACUAAGGAUCUAGUGGUGAAUAACCGUGGGGGUUCGAGUCCCCCCGUUCGCACCA